Molecule: non-coding RNA, 834 nt
Organism: Lolium perenne
Lineage: Eukaryota; Viridiplantae; Streptophyta; Magnoliopsida; Poales; Poaceae
Source: RefSeq, a predicted model, not a curated record
UAGGCCCGAAGAUUUUGUAAGCACUUCACACAAUGGGGAGCUUGCUUUGUGAAAUUGGGACCUUUUAGAAACAAUCACAAAUAUAUUAUAUUAUAAGCUACUUAUGAAUUAUGAGUUAUAUGUCGGUGUAAUAUAUUUGGAUGAUCAUGUAUUUAUUGGUUUGUAUCAGUAACAUAUUUUUUAUUAUACGAUAGUGAUGAGAAAGAGUGGAAGAUGAGCAUGCCACACAGAUGGGCAGUGAUAGUCUCCCCUCUGUUUUUUAAUCUACUUUAAUCACUUUUUGAUAUCAGAAAUUAUUUUUUAUCCAACAGGUGCAUAUGCAAGAUGACAAGGACAGAAGAACAUGUACAUAUGCAAGGUGAUAAGGACAUAAGAACAUGUACAUAUGCAAGGUGACAAGGACAGGGAGAACACAAAAGUUGCCGAAGAACAAUAUGGUUAUUCUCUCAGGGCGACGUACUGAUAUUGGAGCAGAACGUAGGAACAAAGGAGCGAGCAGAUUGAGAGGGGCCUUGGCAGGGACGAUAAAGCAUAUAAAUUACCGGACAUGCGAAGAGCUCUUCGAGAUAUAGGGCGUAGGCACAUUGCUAGCGAGGUUGGCAGGCAAUGUAUUCUCUCCACCUCUAAUACCUAUUGGAAAGUACUUACAUUUAUAGCAUUUCUUGGGACUGUAAUAUUUUUUUGUUUCAAAAUGAUUUUUUAUUGAGAUGGGAAAAGAGUUCUGUGUUAGAACAAUCCUUGAGAUGAUGUAGUUUUUGAGGGUUUUGUAAGAUUGAUAUAAAGUGGAUGACACAUGGAGUCGACCUUGAGGGUGGAGGGAUACUAUUAUCUUGA